AACGCACAUUGCGCCCCUUGGUAUUCCGAGGGGCAUGCCUGUUCGAGCGUCAUUACAACCCUCAAGCUCUGCUUGGUAUUGGGCCUCACCCGUCAGGGCGUGCCUUAAAAUCAGUGGCGGUGCCAUCUGGCUCUAAGCGUAGUAAUUUUUCUCGCUAUAGGGUCCUGUGGAUGCUUGCCAGCAACCCCAAUUUUUCUAUGGUUGACCUCGGAUCAGGUAGGGAUACCCGCUGAACUUAA
RNAcentral lists this unclassified non-coding RNA (239 nucleotides) under uncultured Helotiales. Its description in RNAcentral is "sequence contains ITS2". The stretch from base 1 to 52 matches the Rfam family "5.8S ribosomal RNA", at positions 103 to 154 of the family's 154-position model. The record is from RNAcentral. Lineage: Eukaryota; Fungi; Ascomycota; Leotiomycetes; Helotiales.